UUACGGCCAUAUCGCGUUGAAACAUCGGUUCUCGUACGAUCACCGAAGUUAAGCAAUAUCGAGCCUGGGGAGUACAUAGAUGGGUGACCGCUUGGCAAUACCAGGUGUUGUAAG
Acanthosepion pharaonis is the source of this 114-nucleotide non-coding RNA. NCBI's taxonomy places the organism in Eukaryota, Metazoa, Mollusca, Cephalopoda, Sepiida, Sepiidae. The record is from the annotation of a GenBank genome assembly.